This 602-nucleotide ribosomal RNA is filed under the name Daphnia magna. Its description in RNAcentral is "partial 12S ribosomal RNA". Lineage: Eukaryota; Metazoa; Arthropoda; Branchiopoda; Diplostraca; Daphniidae. The record is from RNAcentral.
UAUGCACUUUCCAGUACAUCUACUUUGUUGCGGCUUAUCUCCUCUGAGAAGGAGAGUGACGGGCGAUAUGUACACAUUCUAUUGCCUUGUUCAGUUUAUUUUCCUAAAAUAAGCUUACUAACAAAUCCACCUUCACCCAAAUUAUAAUUUAAGAUCCGUAUUUUUUUAAAAACUGUAGCUCACCAUUUCCUUCACAUAAACUGCACCUUGACCUGAAGUAAAAAGAUUAAUUUUAUAGAAAACAUCCUUUUGGAGUAAUCUGACAACGGAGGUAUACAAGUUAAACAAAUGAAGGUAAGAUAAAACGAGGGUUAUCGAUUACAAGACAAGCUCCUCUGUUUGGUUAGAAUGCCGCCAAAACCUUUGGGUUUGAAGAACAACUUUUACUACCCUAUCACCUAUUGUAGAGAAUAACAGGGUAUCUAAUCCUGGUUUUUGGUCUCUAUUUUUUAUAUCCCUUCAAAUAAUUAAAGAUAAUUUACUUCUUUGUAUAAAUUUCACCUAAAGAAAGAAAAUAAUAUACUCAAAAUCAUUUACUGUUAAUUAAAAUAAUAAUUUACUCUAUUUAGAUUCUUCGUCUAACCGCGACGGCUGGCACGAUU